CCUACGGGAGGCAGCAGUGAGGAAUAUUGGUCAAUGGCCGUAAGGCUGAACCAGCCAAGUCGCGUGAAGGAAGAAGGAUCUAUGGUUUGUAAACUUCUUUUAUAGGGGAAUAAAGGUAUCCACGUGUGGAUAUUUGCAUGUACCCUAUGAAUAAGCAUCGGCUAACUCCGUGCCAGCAGCCGCGGUAAUACGGAGGAUGCGAGCGUUAUCCGGAUUUAUUGGGUUUAAAGGGUGCGUAGGUUGUUUUUUAAGUCAGCGGUGAAAGUUUGUGGCUCAACCAUAAAAUUGCCGUUGAAACUGGAAGACGUGAGUGUGUUUGAGGUAGGCGGAAUGCGUGGUGUAGCGGUGAAAUGCAUAGAUAUCACGCAGAACUCCGAUUGCGAAGGCAGCUUACUAGGCCAUAACUGACACUGAAGCACGAAAGCGUGGGGAUCAAACAGGAUUAGAGACCCCAGUAGUC
RNAcentral lists this ribosomal RNA (460 nucleotides) under uncultured bacterium. RNAcentral's name for it is "partial 16S ribosomal RNA". It matches the Rfam family "Bacterial small subunit ribosomal RNA", at positions 338 to 795 of the family's 1533-position model. The record is from RNAcentral.